Molecule: non-coding RNA, 72 nt
Organism: Trichonephila clavipes
Lineage: Eukaryota; Metazoa; Arthropoda; Arachnida; Araneae; Nephilidae
Source: the annotation of a GenBank genome assembly
CCACAUGGUCUAGUGCUUAGGAUAUCUGACUCUCAACCAGGAGACCCGGGUUCGAUUCCCGACGUGUGAAGU